GACGAACGCUGGCGGCGUGCUUAACACAUGCAAGUCGAACGGUAAGGCCCUUCGGGGUACACGAGUGGCGAACGGGUGAGUAACACGUGGGUGAUCUGCCCUGCACUUCGGGAUAAGCUUGGGAAACUGGGUCUAAUACCGGAUAUGAUCACGCUCUUCAUGGGGUGUGGUGGAAAGCUUUUGCGGUGUGGGAUGGGCCCGCGGCCUAUCAGCUUGUUGGUGGGGUAAUGGCCUACCAAGGCGACGACGGGUAGCCGGCCUGAGAGGGUGUCCGGCCACACUGGGACUGAGAUACGGCCCAGACUCCUACGGGAGGCAGCAGUGGGGAAUAUUGCACAAUGGGCGCAAGCCUGAUGCAGCGACGCCGCGUGGGGGGAUGACGGCCUUCGGGUUGGUAAACCUCUUUCAGUAGGGACGAAGGGUGACUGACGGUACCUACAGAAGAAGCCCCGGCUAACUACGUGCCAGCAGCCGCGGU
RNAcentral lists this ribosomal RNA (478 nucleotides) under uncultured bacterium. Its description in RNAcentral is "bacterial SSU rRNA". It matches the Rfam family "Bacterial small subunit ribosomal RNA", at positions 28 to 521 of the family's 1533-position model. The record is from RNAcentral.